CAGCGUUAAAUAACUUUGCGCCGGAUCCAGGAGAGGCAGGCGUGGCUGCGCUAGGGACCGCGCUGGGGGAGGAGGGGAUGGGGGAGAUGCAGGGGUGCUUUGAGAACACACUUCCGUUCCUGCCACCCACUUAACAAGUUCUGGCCCGUGGACACACGCCCCAGAGCUCACAGCUUCAUGCCCCCUCGUGCACGGAGAGUCCGUUGGUGCCUCGUGGGCAGCGGCAAAAGCCGCAGAGGCCCCUCGCUCUGGAGAAAGCCGCGCCACAUUCGCAAGGCCGCCGGCGCGCAGGGGCCGUCGCCCACGUUUCACGGAAACCAUCUGCCCGGUGGAUACAUGCGAAGCCCUUCCUGCGGCGCUCUGGACAUUUGCGUAGGAUUCGCUUGAACGCGAUGGCUGCGCGGAGAAGGGGCAGGUUUCGCUGUAUUUUUAGCAAGGAGUGCAGAUUUUAGAACAUCAGCUGAACCUCCUCCUUCCGUCCUCCUCAUGCGUGAUGACUUGCCAGAAAAGUAGGAAUAGUGAGCCUUCUUUCACAUUUGUGCUGUAUAGGUUUAGAAGGACAGUGUGUAAAUCAGCUUGUAUAAUAAUCGUGGCGCCCACGCGCGUGAGCGGACUUGUCAUGAGCUGACUUCCAAUGAUUAUUUCGGUUUCCAGGGCGACGAGGUUGGCAGCCACCUCCGUGGAGAAGGAUGGAGCAGCCUCUUCAUCCCCACCACUGCAGCCUGAUUGAUCAGGCUUUGGGGGAGGAAGUGAACUGCCGGAGGGUCAUCCUCAGGCUGCCCUGGGAAGGGGGAACGGGCCAGCUGACACAGCCCAGGCCAGCAGGCAGGAGAAGCCCACGUUGAGGAGGAGGGGGCAGCAGCGUGUGGUCCCUGUCAGACGAAGCUUCCUUUUAGGGUGUCUGUCAGGCUCACGGAGACCCCGUAACUGCCCCUCCCUCACAGUGAGAACCCCUGCACCUGGGCUGGUUUCCGGCAUCUGGAACCAGGGCAUAAACGGAAAUGGCCUCUGCACAUUCUGAAAGCUGAUUCCAUUGCUUUCUGGCAGAAUCCUUUCUCCCAACCCCUCCAGGCUCACCAGUGAAGCCCCUUCCCUCCCAGCCACCCUGCAGCAUUCCUCCUGCCUUUCCUCAGUGUGGUCAGCGGGGGACCCGGAGCAGCUGCAGCCCACAGUUGGGUGAUUUGGGGGCUCAGGGGUCAGCAGGGGGCCACUCCGGAAAGAAUCACCACCAGACACCUUUCUACAGGCUGUCAGGGAAAGAGGAGUUAUUUUAAAAAUCACAGAGCCCACCCCAUGCCAGGCAUCUGCCCAGGGACCCUGUGGCACCUCCACAUGGGACAUGUCACUGCCUCCUGAAGACAGGGAGCCAGCGCCCAGAGACGAUGACGUUUCUAAACCGUCAUGUCUGUUUUCUGAUUACAGCAGUAAUCACAUAUUAAGGGAAGAAUAUUUUCCCUAUCUCCUUUGAAUUGCAUUUUAAUAUUUACAUAUUUGUUAGCAUUUAAAAACCAAUCUCUUAGAGUAUUGACUCCAAUUAAUUU
Molecule: long non-coding RNA, 1541 nt
Filed under: Equus caballus (horse)
Lineage: Eukaryota; Metazoa; Chordata; Mammalia; Perissodactyla; Equidae
Description: lncRNA (ENSECAG00000055417.1)
Source: RNAcentral